GCCCAGUUAGCUUGGUUGGUAGCGCGUCUGCCUUGUAAGCGCUAGGUCGUGGGUUCGAUUCCUUUACGGGGCG
This 73-nucleotide transfer RNA is filed under the name Diaphorina citri (Asian citrus psyllid). It matches the Rfam family "tRNA". Rfam says of the family: Transfer RNA (tRNA) molecules are approximately 80 nucleotides in length. Their secondary structure includes four short double-helical elements and three loops (D, anti-codon, and T loops). The record is from Rfam by way of RNAcentral. Lineage: Eukaryota; Metazoa; Arthropoda; Insecta; Hemiptera; Psyllidae.